GUGGCGAACGGGUGAGUAACACGUGAGCAACCUGCCCUGGACUCUGGGAUAAGCGCUGGAAACGGCGUCUAAUACUGGAUAUGAGACGUGAUCGCAUGGUCGUGUUUGGAAAGAUUUUUCGGUCUGGGAUGGGCUCGCGGCCUAUCAGCUUGUUGGUGAGGUAAUGGCUCACCAAGGCGUCGACGGGUAGCCGGCCUGAGAGGGUGACCGGCCACACUGGGACUGAGACACGGCCCAGACUCCUACGGGAGGCAGCAGUGGGGAAUAUUGCACAAUGGGCGGAAGCCUGAUGCAGCAACCGCCGCGUGAGGGAUGACGNCCUUCGGGUUGUAAACCUCUUUUAGCAGGGAAGAAGCGAAAGUGACGGUACCUGCAGAAAAAGCGCCGGCUAACUACGUGCCAGCAGCCGCGGUAAUACGUAGGGCGCAAGCGUUAUCCGGAAUUAUUGGGCGUAAAGAGCUCGUAGGCGGUUUGUCGCGUCUGCUGUGAAAUCCCGAGGCUCAACCUCGGGCCUGCAGUGGGUACGGGCAGACUAGAGUGCGGUAGGGGAGAUUGGAAUUCCUGGUGUAGCGGUGGAAUGCGCAGAUAUCAGGAGGAACACCGAUGGCGAAGGCAGAUCUCUGGGCCGUAACUGACGCUGAGGAGCGAAAGGGUGGGGAGCAAACAGGCUUAGAUACCCUGGUAGUCCACCCCGUAAACGUUGGGAACUAGUUGUGGGGACCAUUCCACGGUUUCCGUGACGCAGCUAACGCAUUAAGUUCCCCGCCUGGGGAGUACGGCCGCAAGGCUAAAACUCAAAGGAAUUGACGGGGACCNNCNCAAGCGGCGGAGCAUGCGGAUUAAUUCGAUG
Molecule: ribosomal RNA, 850 nt
Filed under: Bacillus sp. S-(s)-l-D-6(20)
Lineage: Bacteria; Bacillati; Bacillota; Bacilli; Caryophanales; Bacillaceae
Description: bacterial SSU rRNA
Rfam family: Bacterial small subunit ribosomal RNA
Source: RNAcentral